GGGAUCGCUUACGGGUAAGCUUCUGCUCUUGCACAGCGGAAUAGAGGGUUCAACUCCCUCCGGUUCCA
This 68-nucleotide transfer RNA is filed under the name Microbacterium phage Big4. RNAcentral describes it as "tRNA-Ala". Lineage: Duplodnaviria; Heunggongvirae; Uroviricota; Caudoviricetes. The record is from RNAcentral.